UUGUUGUUGGUCAAAAGGACAUAAAAUUAGCGUCAAUUUGGCUCCCCUUGUGAUUUCCGAUUUCCAAGUACAAUCUUUAUGAUAAUGUUGCCCUUGAAUAUGGACACGUGUCAUUACCCCGCUGAUGAGUGUCACUAAUUUCUUACUAUAAUCACACGAGCUUAUAACUCACCCCCACUAGAGACAUUGCUGCCGGACCUUGUUAGAAAAGGUCAUCACAAAGUUAACCGCGCAUAAUUUUUCAUAAUUGAACUAAAACACUUGAAUAAAUUAAAAAAACAAUUCACGAAAUUUUAUAUGAGAUCACAAAUUAAUUUACCGAUUUUUAUAAUUAAAAAAUGAGUAAUGAUACAGCCACAAAUUCUUGUACAAACUUAUUUUGUACAAACUGACGUGGCAUUAAUUCAUUGGUUGAAUGAAAAUAUAAAUUAAU
Molecule: long non-coding RNA, 433 nt
Filed under: Citrus x clementina
Lineage: Eukaryota; Viridiplantae; Streptophyta; Magnoliopsida; Sapindales; Rutaceae
Description: Citrus clementina (C. clementina) long non-coding RNA (CCLE_LNC003246)
Source: RNAcentral